This 443-nucleotide small RNA is filed under the name Pongo abelii (Sumatran orangutan). Its description in RNAcentral is "processed transcript". The record is from RNAcentral. Lineage: Eukaryota; Metazoa; Chordata; Mammalia; Primates; Hominidae.
AGCCUCCGCGGUGGAUACGUCGCCAUCUUGGAUCCGCGGGACAAGAAAAUUCAUGCGAGGGAGACGUGGUGGGCGGUCCUUCCUGUGACACGACCCUUGAGUGACAGUUCUAUUUGAUUGCCUCCGGUACUGUGAGGAAAGGACACGACUCUAUGGUGAGGACUGAUGGACAUACAUUAUCUGAGAAAAGAAACUACCAGUAAAGAUGGGGUUUCACAGUGUUAGCCAGGAUGGUCUUGAUCUCCUGACCUCAUGAUCCGCCCGCCUUGGCCUCGCAAAGUUCUGGGAUUACAGGUGUGAGCCACCGCACCUGGCUGCAAAGUUAUCUUUUAAGAGGUUAUCUUAGGUCUUGCGUGGAGUCUAGGAUGAUAGCACUGAUGGUGGCAGAGCAGAAGAAUCCCAUCGUUUAUCAUGUUCUGGUUGGACUCCUUUCUUACUGUUUG